RNAcentral lists this ribosomal RNA (492 nucleotides) under uncultured bacterium. Its description in RNAcentral is "partial 16S ribosomal RNA". It matches the Rfam family "Bacterial small subunit ribosomal RNA", at positions 29 to 507 of the family's 1533-position model. The record is from RNAcentral.
AGUGAACGCUGGCGGUAGGCCUAACACAUGCAAGUCGAACGGCGGCACAGUAAGAGCUUGCUCUUACGGGUGGCGAGUGGCGGACGGGUGAGGAAUACAUCGGAAUCUACUUUUUCGUGGGGGAUAACGUAGGGAAACUUACGCUAAUACCGCAUACGACCUACGGGUGAAAGCAGGGGAUCUUCGGACCUUGCGCGAUUGAAUGAGCCGAUGUCGGAUUAGCUAGUUGGCGGGGUAAAGGCCCACCAAGGCGACGAUCCGUAGCUGGUCUGAGAGGAUGAUCAGCCACACUGGAACUGAGACACGGUCCAGACUCCUACGGGAGGCAGCAGUGGGGAAUAUUGGACAAUGGGCGCAAGCCUGAUCCAGCCAUACCGCGUCGGUGAAGAAGGCCUUCGGGUUGUAAAGCCCUUUUGUUGGGAAAGAAAAGCAGCAGGUUAAUACCCCGCUGUUCUGACGGUACCCAAAGAAUAAGCACCGGCUAACUUCGUG